Small nucleolar RNA from Arabidopsis thaliana (thale cress), 128 nucleotides. It matches the Rfam family "Small nucleolar RNA snoR74". Lineage: Eukaryota; Viridiplantae; Streptophyta; Magnoliopsida; Brassicales; Brassicaceae. The record is from Rfam.
CAAAAAGCAGGGUUCUGUUUUAUAUAACAGACCUCACGUAAAUGUCAGGAAAAUCGAAUUGGUCAUUGUGAAUGGGUGAGCCAAUGUUACUUCUAAUAGCAUAUGGUUCAGUACAUGAUGGUACAUUU